Molecule: ribosomal RNA, 3768 nt
Filed under: Triticum aestivum (bread wheat)
Lineage: Eukaryota; Viridiplantae; Streptophyta; Magnoliopsida; Poales; Poaceae
Description: partial small subunit ribosomal RNA
Source: RNAcentral
AUGGCGGCGGCGUGGGGCGGCACCACGCAGAAGUGCGCCUCCUGCGGCAAGAAGGUGUACCCGGUCGAGGAGCUCGCCGCCGACGGCCGCGCCUACCACCGCCCCUGCUUCCGCUGCCACCACUGCAAGAGCACCCUCCAGUUUAGUAAUUAUUCUUCGAUCGAAGGUGUCCUGUACUGCAAACCUCACUAUGACCAGAUAUUAAAAUCAACUGGCAGUUUAGAAAAAAGUUUUGAAGGUGUGACAAGAUCAGCUAAAUCAGAAAAAUCAAAUGGACCCAAGGGCCAGCAAAACAGCAGAUUCUCUAGCAUGUUUGUCGGCACGCAAGACAAGUGCGUAGUUUGUAACAAGACUGUGUACCCUCUUGAAAAGGUUGAUCUUAACGGAGGCUCGUAUCAUAAAUCAUGUUUCCGUUGCACCCAUGGUGGUUGUACACUCAGCCCAUCCAACAAUGUCACACAUGAAGGCAAACUUUAUUGCAAGACCCACCAUUCUCAGUUGUUUAUGGUCAAGGGAAACUUCAGUCAGUUCGAGGAAAACACUGUAAAUGCAAAAGUGGCUGUCGAGAAACAACCAGAAACUGGAGAAGCCACUGACAAGCCAGGUCAAGGUGACGAAGUCAGUGAGAAGACCACAGAAAAUGAGCUCACAACUGAUGAACCAUCCCAAAAUGAUGUUGCAGCUGAAAAACAAUUGCAAAGUAGCAUUGAUGUUGCUAAACCGUCGGAAAGCACAGUCGAGAAGUCAGCAGAAAGUGAAAGUGUUACUGAGAGUGAGUCAAAGAGUCCUGGAGUUAACAAUAAGCCAUCAGAAAGCAGUGCCGAGAAGCCACUGCAGAGCAGUGUGGUUGAUACUAAGCCACCAGGAAGCAGUGCGGCCAUAAGAAAACCAUGGCAACGCAGUCUUCCCACAAAUAAGCCGUCAGUGAUUAGUGCAUCCACUGAAAAGCCAUCACCGAGCGAUGCGGCCAUUGAGAAGCCGUCGUCCAGUAAUGGGACUAAUGGGAAACCGUCGGACAGCAGCACAGGGGUAAAAAAGUCAUGGCAGCGCAGUGUAGCUACUGAGAACCCACAGCAGAGCAUGUUACCAUCGGAUAAGCCAGCAUCAACCAGUGCAGAUAAUGUGAAGCCAUCAGAAAGCGGCAAAGUGGCCAAAAAAACAUGGCAACGCCCUGUGGUUGCUGAGAACCAGAAACAAAACAGUGGACCAACUGAGAAGCCGUCACCGACGAGUGAUACAAAGCCAUUAGAUAGCAGCACAGCAAUUAAAAGGCCAUGGGGCCGCAGAAUAGCCAGUGAGAAAUCUCUUCAGAGUAGUGAGGUUGAUAUGAAACCAGUGGAAACCAGUACAGUGGUCACUGUUCUACAGCAGCCCAGUGAGGAACCUCUACAAACCAAUGCAGCUGUGCUACAGCAGCCCAGUGAGGAACCUCAACAAACUAAUGCAGCUGUGCUAAAGCAGCCCAGUGAGGAACCUCAACAAACUAAUGCAGAUGAUGUGAAGCCUUCGGAGGACACUGGAGCAGUAGUGAAAAAGCCAUGGCAAUUCAACACGAGAACCGAGAAGCAACCCCAGAGUAGUGUAGUCGAUGCAAAGAAAACUGAAAGUACUGGAGCGAUCAAACGGCAGUGGAAGCGCAACACGCCAUUUGAGAAGCCAUCACAAAGCAGUGCAGCAGCAGCUGUGACAACGACACAAAGCAAUGUGACCGUCACCAAGCCAGCCCCGAGCAACAUGGCUGUGAAGAAGUCAUGGCAAAGAAGUACAACUCCAAAAAAUCUGGCAGCGAGUGAUAUGGCUACCAAUAAAGCAUUGCAAACCAAGGCAGUGAUCGAGAAGCCAUCACAAGAAAGUUCUCAAGAGAAACCAUUACAAGAAAAGGCACCUCAAAUCACUGUGAUCACCGAGAAGCUAUCGGAAGAAACUUCUCAAGAGAAGCCAUCUCAAGAAAAGGCACCUCAAACUGCUGCGAUCAUCGAGAAGCCAUCACAAGAAAGUUCUCAAGAGAAGCCAUCUAAAGCAAAGACACCUCAAAUUGCUGCAACCGCCGAGAAGCCAUCACAAGAAAGUUCUCAAGAAAAGGCAUUACAAAUGAAUGAAUCUUCCAAGGAGCAACUUCAGACUGAAGAGACUAUUGAGAAACAACUUCAAAGUGAAGAUAUUGCUGAUGCUACACCACAAAGGGACCUGAUGACACAAGAUGAUGUCUCUCUCAAGAAGAUACCAGAGCCUGAAAUUGAUGCCUCUUCUGACAAGCCUACGAAGGAUCCAUCAGAGCAAGAAGGGGCUGCAUCUGGUGAGAACUUGUCAGAGUCUCAAAGUAAGCUAACUGUUGAACAGACGUUGGAAUCCCAAGACGCUGUGGUUCCUCGAGAGGCAACUGACCAGAUAAUGGAAGCUAAAAAUGAUGCAGGCAUUGAGCGGUCAUCAGAAUCUCAAAGUGUUGCACCGGCAGAGGUUCCAGUGGAGCAACCAUUGCAACAACAAAAAGAUGCAUCUACAGAGCAGGCAUUGGAAUCUCAGCAUGAAGCAGAUGACAAGGAUCAAACAGAGCCUAGUAGUGAUGCAAUUGCUAAGGAGUCAUUGCAGCUUGAAUUUGACACAGCUGCCGUGAAGUCAUCAGAACCACAAACAGAUGCAGCUGCUGAUCAGUCGGCUGAGCAGCUACCAGAACCUCAAAGUGACGCAUCAGUGGAGGAACCAGUAGUCCAUCAAGGCGACGUGUCUACUGAGAAGCUAUCUGAGUCUCAAGGUGAUGCAGCUGCUGUUGAAUCAUCAGGACAGCCAUCAGAGCCUGAGAAGUCGUCGGAACCUCAAAUGGAUGCAGCUCCUCAUAAUUUAACUGAUCAGCCAUUGGAACCUCAAAAGGAUGUAUCUAUUGAGAAGCCACUCGAAACCGAGACUAACGUUGUUGCUGAUAAUCCAUCAGAAAGCAGCUUAGCUACUGAAAGCACUCUAAAGAUCAGCACUACCACCGAGGAACCUGCACAACGUGAAAUUUCUGAUGAGACACUGCCUCAAAGCAUUGCAUUAGAUACAACACCAGAAAGCACCACAUCUGUCGAAGAACCCACAGAUGUCGGUGAGGCCAUUGUUGAGAUAUCAGAGGACAGCUCAGCUCCUGAGAAGCCAUCGGAGGAUGCUGUAACUCCUGAGGAGCCAUCAGAUGUAGGUAAGACAACUUUGGAACCAGCAGGAGACAAUGCGGCUGUUGAGAAACCAUCAGAGGAAGUUGAGGUGGGUACUGAUCCAUCAAACAACCUAGUGGAUCUCGAGAAGCCAUCAGAGAAAGAAGACGACUCUGUGAAGCCAGUAGAGGACAGUGUGGCUCUUGAGAAGCCAACCACCGACAAACCCUGGGAGGAAGAUAAGGUGAGUGCUGAACCAUCAAACGACAGAGUGGAUCUUGAUAAGCCAUCGGAGAAAGAAGCUGACACUGUCAAGCCAUCAGAGGACAGCAUGGCUCUUGAGGAGCCAGUCACCGACAAACCAUCAGAGGAAGACGAAGCCAGUGCUGAGCCAUCAAACGACAGAAUAGAUGCCGAGAAACCAUCGGAGGAGAAAGAAGAGGACACUGUGAAGUCAUCAGAGGAUAGCACGGCUGUCGAGAAGCCAGCCACUGACAAACCUUCAGAGGAAGAGGGAGAAGGCGCAGCCAGCGAGAAGCCGUCGCAUGACGAUGCUGUCAUCGAGGCACCAUCGCACGAGGACAUGGACUCGGCCACCGACAAACCCUUGCCUGCCACAGAGAAGAACAUAUCACCCUGA